This is a long non-coding RNA of Rosa chinensis, 214 nucleotides long. RefSeq lists it as uncharacterized. The transcript is spliced from 3 exons. NCBI's taxonomy places the organism in Eukaryota, Viridiplantae, Streptophyta, Magnoliopsida, Rosales, Rosaceae. The record is from RefSeq and is a predicted model, not a curated record.
UUCUGCAGUUGCAUAUUGCUAUUACUUUUCAAGCCAGGUCCGCCGUAGUAUUGUUUAUGGAGAUCAACCAAGAAAUAGGUUGGAUCUAUAUUUACCGACAAAUACUGAUGGGAAAAAGCCAGUUGUGGUGUUUGUAACUGGUGGAGCGUGGAUUAUUGGUUUCAUGCUGGUUUAGGUAUAAAGCAUGGGGUUCUCUUUUAGGUCUGCAGUUGGC